GCCCAGCCGUAAACUUUUAUCUACAUCUCAAUCGCCAGGGAACUACGAGCUAAGCUUAAAACCCAAAGGACUUGACGGUACCCCAUAUCCCCCUAGAGGAGCCUGUCCUAUAAUCGAUAAUCCACGUUUAACCUCACCAUUUUUAGUUAGUCAGCCUGUAUACCUCCGUCGUCAGCUUACCACGUGAGCGAGAAUUAGUGAGCUUAAUGUUUUUCACCAACACGUCAGGUCAAGGUGCAGCAAAUGAAAUGGGAAGAGAUGGGCUACACUUUCUACUAUAGAAAAAACGAAAAACUACUUAUGAAACCUAGUUAGAAGGCGGAUUUAGCAGUAAAAAGGAAUCAGCACGUCCAUUUUAACUCGGCACUGGGGUG
Molecule: ribosomal RNA, 374 nt
Filed under: Sclerophrys poweri (western olive toad)
Lineage: Eukaryota; Metazoa; Chordata; Amphibia; Anura; Bufonidae
Description: partial 12S ribosomal RNA
Rfam family: Bacterial small subunit ribosomal RNA
Source: RNAcentral